AGAGUUUGAUCCUGGCUCAGGACGAACGCUGGCGGCGUGCCUAAUACAUGCAAGUCGAACGAUAGCGACCGGUGCUUGCUCUGGUUGAUCUAGUGGCGAACGGGUGAGUAACACGUGGGUAACCUGCCCGUCAGAGGGGGAUAACAUUCGGAAACGGAUGCUAAUACCGCAUAGGUUCUUGUGUCGCAUGACUUGUGAAGGAAAAGAGGCUUCGGCUUCUGCUGAUGGAUGGACCCGCGGUGCAUUAUCUAGGUGGUGAGGUAACGGCUCACCAAGGCCGUGAUGCAUACCCGACCUGAGAGGGUGAUCGGCCACAUUGGCACUGACACACGGCCCAAACUCCUACGGGAGGCAGCAGUAGGGAAUCUUCCGCAAUGGACGCAAGUCUGACGGAGCAACGCCGCGUGAGUGAAGAAGGAUUUCGGUUCGUAAAACUCUGUUGUUAGAGAAGAACAGCGCAUAGAGUAACUGUUAUGCGUGUGACGGUAUCUAACCAGAAAGCCACGGCUAACUACGUGCCAGCAGCCGCGGUAAUACGUAGGUGGCAAGCGUUUGUCCGGAUUUAUUGGGCGUAAAGCGAGCGCAGGCGGUCAAUUAAGUCUGAUGUGAAAGCCCGCCGGCUCACCCGGGGAGGGUCAUUGGACACUGGAUGACUUGAGUGCAGAAGAAGAGAGUGGAUUUCCGUGUGUAGCGGUGAUAUGCGUAUAUAUAUGGAGAAACACCAGUGGCGAAGCGCGACUCUCUGGUCUGUAACUGACGCUGAGGCUCAAAAGCGUGGGUAGCACACAGGAUUAGAUACCCUGCUAGUCCACGCCGUACACGAUGAGUGCUAUGUGUUGCACGUUUCCGCCUUCAGUGCUGCAGUU
This 866-nucleotide ribosomal RNA is filed under the name uncultured bacterium. RNAcentral describes it as "bacterial SSU rRNA". It matches the Rfam family "Bacterial small subunit ribosomal RNA", at positions 8 to 853 of the family's 1533-position model. The record is from RNAcentral.